RNAcentral lists this ribosomal RNA (563 nucleotides) under uncultured bacterium. Its description in RNAcentral is "bacterial SSU rRNA". It matches the Rfam family "Bacterial small subunit ribosomal RNA", at positions 338 to 916 of the family's 1533-position model. The record is from RNAcentral.
CCUACGGGAGGCAGCAGUGGGGAAUAUUGGACAAUGGGCGAAAGCCUGAUCCAGCAAUGCCGCGUGAGUGAUGAAGGCCUUAGGGUCGUAAAGCUCUUUUACCCGGGAUGAUAAUGACAGUACCGGGAGAAUAAGCCCCGGCUAACUCCGUGCCAGCAGCCGCGGUAAUACGGAGGGGGCUAGCGUUGUUCGGAAUUACUGGGCGUAAAGCGUGCGUAGGCGGUUAUUCAAGUCAGAGGUGAAAGCCCGGGGCUCAACCCCGGAACGGCCUUUGAAACUAGGUAGCUAGAAUCUUGGAGAGGUCAGUGGAAUUCCGAGUGUAGAGGUGAAAUUCGUAGAUAUUCGGAAGAACACCAGUGGCGAAGGCGACUGACUGGACAAGUAUUGACGCUGAGGCACGAAAGCGUGGGGAGCAAACAGGAUUAGAUACCCUGGUAGUCCACGCCGUAAACGAUGAUAACUAGCUGUUCGGGUACUUGGUAUCUGAGUGGCGCAGCUAACGCAUUAAGUUAUUCCGCCUGGGGAGUACGGUCGCGAAGAUUAAAACUCAAAGGAAUUGACGG